Molecule: non-coding RNA, 72 nt
Organism: Bos taurus (domestic cattle)
Lineage: Eukaryota; Metazoa; Chordata; Mammalia; Artiodactyla; Bovidae
Source: Rfam
CCCCUGGCGGUCCAAUGGUUAGGACUCGGCACUUCCACUGCCAUGGCCCAGGUUCAAUCCCUGGUCGGGGAA